GGAGAGAUGGCUCAGUGGUUAAGAGCACUGAUACCUCUUCCAAAGAACCUAGGUUCAAUUCCCAGUACCCCCA
This 73-nucleotide transfer RNA is filed under the name Cricetulus griseus (Chinese hamster). It matches the Rfam family "tRNA". From Rfam's summary of the family: Transfer RNA (tRNA) molecules are approximately 80 nucleotides in length. Their secondary structure includes four short double-helical elements and three loops (D, anti-codon, and T loops). Lineage: Eukaryota; Metazoa; Chordata; Mammalia; Rodentia; Cricetidae. The record is from Rfam by way of RNAcentral.